CCUACGGGAGGCAGCAGUGGGGAAUAUUGCACAAUGGGCGAAAGCCUGAUGCAGCAACGCCGCGUGCAGGAAGACGGUUUUCGGAUUUUAAACUUCUGUUCUUAGUGAAGAAUAAUGACGGUAACUAAGGAGCAAGCCACGGCUAACUACGUGCCAGCAGCCGCGGUAAUACGCAGGUGGCAAGCGUUGUCCGGAAUUACUGGGUGUAAAGGGAGCGUAGGCGGGAAGCCAAGUCAGCUGUGAAAACUACGGGCUUAACCUGUAGACUGCAGUUGAAACUGGCUUUCUUGAGUGAAGGAGAGGUUGGCGGAAUUCGGAGUGUAGCGGUGAAAUGCGUAGAUAUUCGGAGGAACACCGGUGGCGAAGGCGGCCAGCUGGGCUUUAACUGACGCUGAGGCUCGAAAGUGUGGGGAGCGAACAGGAUUAGAUACCCUAGUAGUC
This 441-nucleotide ribosomal RNA is filed under the name uncultured bacterium. RNAcentral describes it as "partial 16S ribosomal RNA". It matches the Rfam family "Bacterial small subunit ribosomal RNA", at positions 338 to 795 of the family's 1533-position model. The record is from RNAcentral.